This 458-nucleotide long non-coding RNA is filed under the name Homo sapiens (human). RNAcentral describes it as "HSALNT0305475". The record is from RNAcentral. Lineage: Eukaryota; Metazoa; Chordata; Mammalia; Primates; Hominidae.
UUUCUGUAGAGCCUGACAUUUCAAGGGCCCUGGGGGAAAAUAUUGACUGGUUUGGGAAGGGACUCAGAAUUGCACCUACAAAGAAUUAUUAAUGGCACUGGCAUCCCUAACUACUGGGAAGAGAAAGGGGUUUCAAGGGUUGUUGGAGUUUUAAAGAAGACUGUGGAUAGAAACUGUCCAGCUCAGUGUCUAUGCCUCCAGCAGCUUCUCAGGAACUUCUCCUGCCACUAUUCACCAUUUCAUGACCUUCUUCUGCAGACCUCUCUUCCCCCUCACAGACAGGCUGCAGCCUGGAGCCAGGACACACUAGCAACCUGAGGGCAUCCACGCGAGGCUCUGGGCUGCAGGUGUGGAGACCCAGGGACCACUCAGCAUUUUCAACUCGUCAUAUGUCAUUUGGGAGGGUCGCCGCCCCUCUCAUGGCCUCAUUUUAUUGCCAAUAAAACACUAAAGAAGAG